This 253-nucleotide ribosomal RNA is filed under the name uncultured bacterium. RNAcentral describes it as "partial 16S ribosomal RNA". It matches the Rfam family "Bacterial small subunit ribosomal RNA", at positions 524 to 776 of the family's 1533-position model. The record is from RNAcentral.
GACGUAGGGCGCGAGCGUUGUCCGGAUUUAUUGGGCGUAAAGAGCUCGUAGGCGGCUUGUCGCGUCGACUGUGAAAUCCCGCGGCUCAACUGCGGGUCUGCAGUCGAUACGGGCAGGCUAGAGUUCGGUAGGGGAGACUGGAAUUCCUGGUGUAGCGGUGAAAUGCGCAGAUAUCAGGAAGAACACCCGUGGCGAAGGCGGCUCUCUGGGACGGUACUGACGCUGAGACGCGAAAGCGUGGGGAGCGAACAGG